UUGAACUAGGUAGCACAUAUACUAAAUUUGCAGCAAUAUAGAGAAGAUUAGCAUAGCACCUGCAUGAGGAUGACAUGCAAAUUCAUGAAGAGUUCUACCCAUGA
Small nuclear RNA from Protopterus annectens (West African lungfish), 104 nucleotides. The record is from RefSeq and is a predicted model, not a curated record. NCBI's taxonomy places the organism in Eukaryota, Metazoa, Chordata, Ceratodontiformes, Protopteridae.